This 704-nucleotide ribosomal RNA is filed under the name Streptomyces sp. R1O24. Its description in RNAcentral is "partial 16S ribosomal RNA". Lineage: Bacteria; Bacillati; Actinomycetota; Actinomycetes; Kitasatosporales; Streptomycetaceae. The record is from RNAcentral.
GGUGAAGCCACCCCUAAUCACCGCUUGCCCACUCAUUGUGCACCCGUUAGACGGGACGUGAGACCCUGUUCGGGACCUUUGCCCCAGAUUAUGGCCUAUGACUGGUAGAACCCGUAGGUUCCACAAGCUUUCGAGGCCGCCACGUCCUACUCGGGCGCCGGAUAGUCGAACAACCACUCCAUUACCGAGUGGUUCCGCUGCUGCCCAUCGGCCGGACUCUCCCGCUGGCCGGUGUGACCCUGACUGUGUGCCGGGUCUGAGGAUGCCCUCCGUCGUCACCCCUUAUAACGUGUUACCCGCUUUCGGACUACGUCGCUGCGGCGCACUCCCUACUGCCGGAAGCCCAACAUUUGGAGAAAGUCGUCCCUUCUUCGCUUUCACUGCCAUGGACGUCUUCUUCGCGGCCGAUUGAUGCACGGUCGUCGGCGCCAUUAUGCAUCCCGCGCUCGCAACAGGCCUUAAUAACCCGCAUUUCUCGAGCAUCCGCCGAACAGUGCAGCCAACACUUUCGGGCCCCGAAUUGGGGCCCAGACGUCAGCUAUGCCCGUCCGAUCUCAAGCCAUCCCCUCUAGCCUUAAGGACCACAUCGCCACUUUACGCGUCUAUAGUCCUCCUUGUGGCCACCGCUUCCGCCUAGAGACCCGGCUAUGACUGCGACUCCUCGCUUUCGCACCCCUCGCUUGUCCUAAUCUAUGGGACCAUCA